GAGGGGUUUCUUCCCCUUGUUGGUGUCUCUUCCCCCUCUUGCUGCUAUGGCAGAUUCUGGACAGUGUGCAGCCUGUGAGGUAAUCUGAAUUCCUUGGCAACCGGCAAGUACCUGAAUUCUUUCAAAACCACAGGAAUCCAGCAGAGAAAAGACCAUUUGUGAACAACAGUGGCCCUAGGAUCUUCAUACCAAUUGCCAUUGCAUGAAAAUACAAUGUGACCCUGGAUCCCUGCUGGGAAAGGAAGGCUUUCAUCAGGUUGCUCAGAGAACUUACAGAUCUUUCCACAAUGGAUCCUGGCAUUUUCCCUGUGAAAUGGGAUGGAUAUUUCACUGACUCACUCCAUAGUGCUUGCUAUGCCACUGCAGGU
This is a long non-coding RNA of Globicephala melas (long-finned pilot whale), 368 nucleotides long. RefSeq lists it as uncharacterized. The record is from RefSeq and is a predicted model, not a curated record. Lineage: Eukaryota; Metazoa; Chordata; Mammalia; Artiodactyla; Delphinidae.